GAUCGCGUCAUUGUGCCGGUU
RNAcentral lists this unclassified non-coding RNA (21 nucleotides) under Dictyostelium discoideum. The record is from RNAcentral. Lineage: Eukaryota; Evosea; Eumycetozoa; Dictyosteliales; Dictyosteliaceae.